Molecule: unclassified non-coding RNA, 235 nt
Filed under: plant metagenome
Description: partial contains small subunit ribosomal RNA, internal transcribed spacer 1, and 5.8S ribosomal RNA
Source: RNAcentral
UUUCCGUAGGUGAACCUGCGGAAGGAUCAUUAAAGUUAUAGUCCCCCGGCCCCUCCGGGCUGGGGUCUUCUAUACCACCCUUUGUUUAUUACACCUUUGUUGCUUUGGCAGGCCUGCCCUCGGGCUGCUGGCUCCGGCCGGCUCGUGCCUGCCAGAGGACCUAAACUCUGUUUGUAUAUGAAGUCUGAGUACUAUAUAAUAGUUAAAACUUUCAACAACGGAUCUCUUGGCUCUC